Molecule: ribosomal RNA, 622 nt
Filed under: uncultured Actinomycetes bacterium
Lineage: Bacteria; Bacillati; Actinomycetota; Actinomycetes
Description: bacterial SSU rRNA
Rfam family: Bacterial small subunit ribosomal RNA
Source: RNAcentral
GGGCGUAAAGAGCUCGUAGGUGGUUUGUCGCGUUGUUCGUGAAAUCUCACGGCUUAACUGUGAGCGUGCGGGCGAUACGGGCAGACUGGAGUACUGCAGGGGAGACUGGAAUUCCUGGUGUAGCGGUGGAAUGCGCAGAUAUCAGGAGGAACACCGGUGGCGAAGGCGGGUCUCUGGGCAGUAACUGACGCUGAGGAGCGAAAGCGUGGGGAGCGAACAGGAUUAGAUACCCUGGUAGUCCACGCCGUAAACGGUGGGUACUAGGUGUGGGUUUCCUUCCUUGGGACCCGUGCCGUAGCUAACGCAUUAAGUACCCCGCCUGGGGAGUACGGCCGCAAGGCUAAAACUCAAAGAAAUUGACGGGGGCCCGCACAAGCGGCGGAGCAUGUGGAUUAAUUCGAUGCAACGCGAAGAACCUUACCUGGGUUUGACAUGCACAGGACGUGCCUAGAGAUAGGUAUUCCCUUGUGGCCUGUGUGCAGGUGGUGCAUGGCUGUCGUCAGCUCGUGUCGUGAGAUGUUGGGUUAAGUCCCGCAACGAGCGCAACCCUUGUCUCAUGUUGCCAGCACGUAAUGGUGGGGACUCGUGAGAGACUGCCGGGGUCAACUCGGAGGAAGGUAAU